AUGGGAGACUUUAGCGAAAUACUUUACUCACAUGAGAAGGAGGAUGGUGACCCAAGGCCAGUUAGGAUGAUGCAACAAUUUGGAGAUGCACUAGUGGAUUGUGAGCUUGUAGACAUGGGAUUUAAAGGCAGCUAGUGUACUUGGAGACGUCGUCGUCUGAGAGAACGACUGGACAUGGUUGUGCGUAAUGGUGGAUUCCAUGGUCUGUUCCCAGGAGCAAUUGUGACAAAUGCACCACAUAUAAAGUCAGACCACAGGCCGGUUGUUUUGGAAACAGAAGGAGAUGGGAAUGAAGACCAGCAGCAUAUAAGGCGUGAGCAGUUCGAGGCACGCUGGCUAAAGGAAGAGGAUGUGAUGACCCGCGUCACAGAAGCCUGGGAGCAAACGCCGAAUACGGCUACCCUUGUUGAACGUACUUCAAUGGUUCAUACGGAGCUUCAUGAAUGA
Molecule: ribosomal RNA, 447 nt
Filed under: Triticum aestivum (bread wheat)
Lineage: Eukaryota; Viridiplantae; Streptophyta; Magnoliopsida; Poales; Poaceae
Description: partial small subunit ribosomal RNA
Source: RNAcentral